This 547-nucleotide ribosomal RNA is filed under the name uncultured bacterium. Its description in RNAcentral is "bacterial SSU rRNA". It matches the Rfam family "Bacterial small subunit ribosomal RNA", at positions 777 to 1320 of the family's 1533-position model. The record is from RNAcentral.
AAUAGAUACCCGGGUAGUCCACGCCGUAAACGAUGAGUGCUAAGUGUUGGGGGGUUUCCGCCCCUCAGUGCUGCAGCUAACGCAUUAAGCACUCCGCCUGGGGAGUACGGUCGCAAGACUGAAACUCAAAGGAAUUGACGGGGGCCCGCACAAGCGGUGGAGCAUGUGGUUUAAUUCGAAGCAACGCGAAGAACCUUACCAGGUCUUGACAUCCCGGUGACCACUAUGGAGACAUAGUUUCCCCUUCGGGGGCAACGGUGACAGGUGGUGCAUGGUUGUCGUCAGCUCGUGUCGUGAGAUGUUGGGUUAAGUCCCGCAACGAGCGCAACCCUUAUUCUUAGUUGCCAUCAUUCAGUUGGGCACUCUAAGGAGACUGCCGGUGAUAAACCGGAGGAAGGUGGGGAUGACGUCAAAUCAUCAUGCCCCUUAUGACCUGGGCUACACACGUGCUACAAUGGACGGUACAAACGGUUGCCAACCCGCGAGGGGGAGCUAAUCCGAUAAAAACCCGUUCUCAGUUCGGAUUGUAGGCUGCAACUCGCCUACA